AUCUCUCCAUCCUUUUGUUAUUAGUUGUUACUAGAAGCCUAGUGUCAUUUGGAGGCUGGUUCUCUUGAGAGACAAAGCCAUGGAGCUGACACUGACAAUGGCCUUUUUGUUCCAAGAAAGGCCUCCUGGUUUAGCUGUGUGACUAAAUGCUGUUUGCCCUCUUCGGUAGACUCUAUUCUCAAGAUUCUCUUGUUUUCUCACCAUCCCAUUUGAUAUGCUUGUUAGUAACUGUUACAGGUCUUCUUUACCACCGAUGAAAGACGGAAUCCUACUGGAGACCAGAAAAAAAUGUUCCAGACACGGAUAGAAGGCCCUCACUUCUGCCUGCUCUCUUCAGACGCCUGAAGGACUUAAACUGUGAUAGAGUGGCUGAUGUUCUGCCUUUGAAUAGAGUGUCCCAAAAGAUGGGACCACUGGUUAGCUGCCAUGGACUAGAUUCUCCACCGGUUGGGGACAAUCUGGUCACCUUGCUGCCCAAUCCGGACCUGGAGCCACCACAGCACGAGUGUCAAGUACUGGCAGAAGCCCAUGGGUGGAGGAAAGACCUCUGCGACUGGCUGAUUGACCCCUGCUGAAAGCCGAGGACCUUGUCCACAGACGGGAACAGUUCUCUUCAUGAAUGAAGGUCAGAGACAAGUGGGUGCUGCCAUGGUGGACAACACAAUGUCAUCUGGGAUGGCUGAACCUCUACCCCCCCCCCAGUACAUCAGCACUGCAGAUGCCUUUACCAUCUCUUGGAUGCCCUGGUGAAGCCAACA
This 758-nucleotide long non-coding RNA is filed under the name Rattus norvegicus (Norway rat). Its description in RNAcentral is "long non-coding RNA NONRATT025953". Lineage: Eukaryota; Metazoa; Chordata; Mammalia; Rodentia; Muridae. The record is from RNAcentral.